AUUUCUACUGUAAAUGGUAAAAUACACAUCAAAGAAUAAAGCUCCAAAAUAGAGAGGCGGAACGAAGGUGGAGAUUAACUUACACACUUAGGUAGAUACAUAAUAAAAAAAAAUAUGUAACAUAAAUGAAGAUUUAAUGUUGUUCGGAAGAAAAAUGAAGAUUUUAUAUUUAAAUUUAUUGUAGGUUCACAUUAUGCAGCUAACUAUAUAUGAUGAAUAUAUAUAUAUUUAUUGAAGACCAAAGAGUGGAAAGGACAAUCAUAUUGUUAACGAACAUAAAUUCUAAAAUAUAUAAAGAUCAAAAACUUAGAUUAAUUAGUCAUAUAUCAUAUGACAAAAAAUAUUAGUCAUAUACCAUAUAAUUUUAAAAUUAAUUAAAACAAUGUAGAAAAAUUAGUAAUUGUCAUAACACCAUUAACAAGAUUUUGCUUUAACAAUUAUAUAAAUACUAUUUCAAAUAAAAAUAAAAAUUAACAAAAAAAAUAAAAUACAAAAGAAUAUACAUCAUACCACGUAUAAGGUCAUCGAAGCUAAAAUAAAAUCAAACUAACUGUUCACAUAUAGUGUGUUAGUUAUGCUACUUAUUUUUUAGUUUCAAAAAUUAUAAUCUUAUUGUGUAAUAUGUAAAUAUAUAUAUGAUACUUAGUAAAAUAAUUAACAAAUCCUACUCCAAAUUUACUGUAAAAAUAACAAAAAAUAAAGAAAAUUAUUUAACGGGUAAAACAUUUUUAAAAAUUACAAACUCAAAAAAAGAAAUUUACAUUUUUGUCAAAAUAAUAAGUUAACAAUUUAAAAUAUAUAAACCGCGCGUAGCGCAGUAAAAAACUCUAGUAUACAUAAUAUGACACUUUCCUCUCUUUUGAAAGUGUCUACAUAUGCAUUUUUUAAUGAUAGUGACGUCCGCGUACAUUUAGUUUUUUUGGGCGACUGAUUUGUUUGGUUUGAGUCUAAGGAAAUAAUUGUUGGUCAGUUCUCAGUGUUUGGUUCGAUAAAUAAGGAAAUAAUUGUUGGUCAGUUCUCAGUGUUUGGUAUGAUUGAAAAGAAAAACAUGAAAACGCAGUGUUUUCUACUUUAGUUGACUGGGGCGUCAUCGCUUUCCCUCUUCCACAGAUGAACUCACCGUCUCCGUUUUUCUAAAUCUUCAAAGUUUCUGUUCUCAUCUCUUCACAUUCCCUGAAGUUGAAUGAUUCGUAAAAUUAGGAAAUAACUGAUAACCACCUUAAACUCUGUAACGAUCCUGACCUCUUUGUUUCUUCUCCGUCAAAUCUAUAAAUAAGGGAUGGUUGAGAUAUGGCUGCGAUAGACUAUGGAUUUGAUCCACUUUUAUCCAUGGUUUAUAAGUAUUUUAACUACUAUUUAUUAUAUUAUAGAGUCUAAUUAUAGGAUCAUGAGUGAUUUGGAA
This 1402-nucleotide long non-coding RNA is filed under the name Brassica rapa (field mustard). Its description in RNAcentral is "long non-coding RNA (BRAP_LNC003416)". Lineage: Eukaryota; Viridiplantae; Streptophyta; Magnoliopsida; Brassicales; Brassicaceae. The record is from RNAcentral.